This 190-nucleotide unclassified non-coding RNA is filed under the name Groenewaldozyma salmanticensis. Its description in RNAcentral is "ribonuclease P RNA". The record is from RNAcentral. Lineage: Eukaryota; Fungi; Ascomycota; Dipodascomycetes; Dipodascales; Trichomonascaceae.
UAUAUAUUUAUAUAUAAAGGAAAGUCUAUUAUUAAUAAUAAUAUAUUAUAUAUAUAAUAAUAAAAUUAUACCCAGCUCAACCCAUACGGUCGAGUCGGGUUGAAAUGAAAUUAAAGGAUAUAUAAUAUAUAUAUAAUUAUUAAUAUAAUUAGGUAAAUAUAUACUAAAAAUAGCUUAUAUAUAUAAAUAU